GAUGAACGCUGGCGGCGUGCCUAACACAUGCAAGUCGAGCGGGAUCUUGCUAAAUGACGCUUCGGUUGAUUUUAGUAAGUGAGAGCGGCGGACGGGUGAGUAACGCGUAGGCAACCUGCCCUUUGCAGAGGGAUAGCCAUUGGAAACGAUGAUUAAAACCUCAUAAUGCCAGACUGAGACAUCUCUAACUGGCCAAAGAUUUAUCGGCAAAGGAUGGGCCUGCGUCUGAUUAGCUAGUUGGUGGGGUAACGGCCUACCAAGGCGACGAUCAGUAGCCGACCUGAGAGGGUGAUCGGCCACAUUGGAACUGAGACACGGUCCAAACUCCUACGGGAGGCAGCAGUGGGGAAUAUUGCACAAUGGGCGAAAGCCUGAUGCAGCAACGCCGCGUGAAGGAAGAAGUUUCGGAUUGUAAACUUCUUUUAAGAGGGACGAUAAUGACGGUACCUCUUGAAUAAGCCACGGCUAACUACGUGCCAGCAGCC
This 485-nucleotide ribosomal RNA is filed under the name uncultured bacterium. RNAcentral's name for it is "bacterial SSU rRNA". It matches the Rfam family "Bacterial small subunit ribosomal RNA", at positions 28 to 516 of the family's 1533-position model. The record is from RNAcentral.